UGCUUCGGGUGACAACGGUCAGAGAUGAAGGUGGCCGCGGCGCAGCGGGAAGCUCAGCUUCGCGGAGCGCGGUUGGCAGCCAGGCCGCGCCUGUAGGACCCCCUGGCCGGGGUGACGGGAUGGGGACCCGACUCGGGUAGUGAGACGCCUGCUAGCUGAACUUCAGCCGGAGGGGCUCGCCUGCUCCGGUCAGACUCGGCGACCUCCUCCACCUGCUGCCGCUGGGCCCCGCGUCCGGCGGGCCACAACGGCGUCGGCGACGGCGGGGGCAUGUGGCGCUGGGUCCGGCAGCAGCUGGGUUUUGACCCACCACAUCAAAGUGACACAAGAACUAUUUACAUAGCCAACAGAUUUCCUCAGAAUGGCCUUUACACACCUCAGAAAUUUAUAGAUAACCGGAUCAUUUCAUCUAAGUAUACCGUAUGGAAUUUUGUUCCAAAAAAUUUAUUUGAACAAUUCAGAAGAGUGGCAAACUUUUAUUUUCUUAUUAUAUUUUUGGUUCAGCUUAUGAUUGACACACCUACCAGUCCAAUUACCAGUGGACUCCCAUUAUUCUUUGUGAUAACAGUAACUGCCAUAAAACAGGGAUAUGAAGACUGGUUACGCCACAACUCAGAUAAUGAAGUAAAUGGAGCUCCUGUUUAUGUUGUUAGAAGUGGUGGCCUUGUGAAAACCAGAUCAAAAAACAUUCGGGUGGGUGAUAUUGUCCGUAUAGCCAAAGAUGAAAUUUUCCCUGCAGAUUUGGUGCUUCUGUCCUCAGAUCGACUCGAUGGUUCAUGUCAUGUUACAACUGCCAGUUUGGAUGGAGAGACAAACCUGAAGACACAUGUGUCAGUUCCAGAAACAGCAGUAUUACAAACGGUUGCCAACCUGGACAGUCUCAUAGCUGUGAUAGAAUGCCAGCAGCCAGAAGCAGACUUAUACAGAUUUAUGGGACGAAUGAUAAUAACUCAACAAAUGGAAGAAAUUGUAAGACCUCUGGGACCAGAGAGUCUCUUGCUUCGUGGAGCCAGAUUAAAAAAUACAAAAGAAAUUUUUGGUGUAGCUGUGUACACCGGAAUGGAAACGAAGAUGGCAUUAAAUUACAAGAGCAAGUCACAGAAACGAUCUGCAGUAGAAAAAUCAAUGAACACAUUUUUAAUAAUUUAUCUAAUAAUCCUUAUUUCUGAGGCCAUCAUCAGUACUAUCUUGAAAUAUACCUGGCAAGCAGAAGAAAAAUGGGAUGAACCUUGGUAUAACCAAAAAACAGAACAUCAAAGAAACAGUAGUAAGAUUCUGAGAUUUAUUUCUGAUUUCCUUGCUUUUUUGGUACUCUACAAUUUCAUCAUUCCAAUUUCUUUGUAUGUGACUGUUGAGAUGCAGAAAUUUCUUGGAUCGUUUUUUAUUGGCUGGGAUCUUGAUCUAUACCAUGAAGAAUCAGAUCAGAAAGCUCAAGUCAAUACUUCUGACCUGAAUGAAGAGCUUGGACAGGUGGAAUAUGUGUUUACAGAUAAAACUGGGACACUGACAGAAAAUGAAAUGCAGUUUCGAGAAUGUUCAAUUAAUGGCAUGAAAUACCAAGAAGUCAAUGGUAAACUUGUACCUGAAGGACCAACCCCAGACUCUGCAGAAGAAAGCUUAUCUUACCUUGGUAGUUUAUCACAUCUCAACAACUCAACACAUGUCACAACCAGUUCUUCUUUUAGAACCAGUCCUGAAAGUGAAACUGAACUAAUGAAAGAACAUGACCUCUUCUUUAAAGCAGUCAGUCUUUGCCAUACUGUACAGAUCAGCAGUGUUCAAACUGAUGGCAUUGGGGAUGGUCCCUGGCAGUCCAACCUAGCACCUGCACAGCUGGAGUACUAUGCAUCUUCACCAGAUGAAAAGGCUCUAGUGGAAGCUGCAGCAAGAGCUGGUAUCAUAUUUAUAGGCAUUUCUGAAGAAAGUAUGGAGGUUAAAGUACUUGGAAGACUGGAAAGGUACAAAUUGCUUCAUAUUCUGGAAUUUGAUUCAGAUCGUAGGAGAAUGAGUGUAAUUGUUCAAGCACCUUCAGGUGAGAAGCUUUUAUUUGCUAAAGGAGCAGAAUCUUCAAUUCUCCCUAAAUGUAUAGGUGGAGAAAUAGCAAAAACCAGAAUUCAUGUAGAUGAAUUUGCUUUGAAAGGACUGCGGACACUAUGUAUAGCUUAUAGACAGUUUACCGCUAAAGAGUAUGAUGAUAUAGAUAGGCGCCUGUUUGAGGCCAGGACUGCCUUGCAGCGACGGGAAGAGAAGUUGGCUGAUGCCUUCCAGUACAUUGAGAAAGACCUGAUACUGCUAGGAGCUACAGCAGUGGAAGACAGACUACAAGAUAAAGUUCGAGAAACUAUUGAAGCAUUGAGAAUGGCUGGUAUAAAAGUAUGGGUGCUUACAGGAGACAAACAUGAAACAGCUGUUAGUGUGAGCUUAUCAUGCGGACAUUUUCAUAGAGCUAUGAAUAUCCUCGAACUCGUCAACCAGAAGUCAGACAGCGGAUGUGCUGAACAGUUGAGGCAGCUUGCCAGGAGAAUUACAGAAGACCAUGUGAUUCAGCAUGGGCUGGUAGUAGAUGGGACCAGCUUAUCUCUUGCACUCAGGGAGCAUGAAAAGCUGUUUAUGGAAGUUUGCAGAAACUGCUCAGCUGUGUUGUGUUGCCGCAUGGCACCUUUACAGAAAGCAAAAGUAAUAAGACUGAUAAAAAUCUCACCUGAGAAACCGAUAACAUUGGCUGUUGGUGAUGGUGCUAAUGAUGUCAGCAUGAUACAAGAAGCACAUGUUGGCAUAGGAAUCAUGGGUAAAGAAGGAAGACAAGCUGCAAGGAACAGUGACUAUGCAGUAGCUAGAUUUAAAUUCCUCUCCAAAUUACUGUUUGUUCAUGGUCAUUUUUAUUAUAUUAGAAUAGCUACCCUUGUACAGUAUUUUUUUUAUAAGAAUGUGUGCUUUAUCACACCCCAAUUUUUAUAUCAGUUCUACUGUUUGUUUUCUCAGCAAACACUGUAUGACAGCGUGUACUUGACUUUGUACAAUAUCUGUUUUACUUCCCUGCCUGUUCUCAUAUAUAGUCUUUUGGAACAACAUAUAGACCCUCAUGUGUUACAGAGCAAGCCUACCCUCUAUCGGGACAUUAGUAAAAACCGUCUCUUGAGCAUUAAAGCAUUUCUUUACUGGACCAUCCUGGGUUUCAGCCAUGCCUUCAUUUUCUUUUUUGGAUCCUAUUUUCUUGUGGGGAAAGAUACAUCUCUGCUUGGAAAUGGCCAGAUGUUUGGAAACUGGACGUUUGGUACUCUGGUCUUCACAGUCAUGGUUAUUACGGUCACAGUAAAGAUGGCUUUGGAAACUCAUUUCUGGACCUGGAUCAACCAUCUUGUCACUUGGGGAUCUAUUAUAUUUUAUUUUAUAUUUUCUUUAUUUUAUGGUGGGAUUCUCUGGCCAUUUUUGGGCUCCCAGAAUAUGUACUUUGUAUUUAUUCAGCUCCUGUCAAGUGGACCGGUGUGGUUUGCCAUACUCCUCAUGGUUGUUACUUGUCUGUUCCUUGAUGUUGUGAAGAAAGUGUUUGACCGACACCUUCAUCCAACAAGUACAGAAACGGCACAGAUGGAAGAAGAUAAGGGUUCAGUCGGCUCAGCAUAUGAAUUUGCUGAAAGCCAGCACAGAGGGGAGGACAGUAGGCACCUGUUAGCUGAGGCUUGCAGCCAGCAGGACAGUUGUUGCGUGCACUAGCUUGCUGAAGCACAUUCAGGUGUCAAGUGCUUGGACUCCAUGUGCUGUUUCCCAGGAGAGACCCCGUGCACGUCUGUUGGAAGAAUGCUGGAGCGAGUCAUAGGAAGGUGUAGUCCCAACCAUAUCAGCAGGUUGUGGAGUGCAUCGGAUCCUUUCUAUACCAAUGACAGGAGCAUCUUGACUCUCUCCCCAAUGGACUCAUCUACUUGUUGAAGGACAACUUCCCCUGUCCUCAGACUUAGGGUCAUUCUAUAAGAGGCCACACUGGCUCUGAAGUUACUGUCUGAAAUCUCUGGAGGAGUUGAGAGCUUCUUGGAGUUCCGCAGGAAACAGGCCUUCUUCAUUCUCUUUCAUUUGAAUGUGAGCUUACUAAAAUUUGGAAAUAAAGAGAUACUUCCAGUCUCUUUGUUUGGUUUGUCCCUUCCACUCAAGGGACUUCUGGUGGCAUUAUAGCCUUUGCUGGAGCCACUAUAAUAUCAAGAUAGAAGAAAAGGGUAACUCCUGGGUGUGUGUAUUUUUAGGAUUAGUAUGGUUUGGGACUCUUCUAUUUAAAUCUGCUUCUGUAAAUUAUGCUAAAGAUUUGCCUUGAGAACUCUAUUUUUUUUAUUAGAUUAUAUUUGAAGCUUUUCAUGGGAAAAGUUGAUGUGAAUAUUAAGGAAUUUGGUCCUUCAGUGACCUGUGUAGUUAAUUCAUUUGUGCUUCUUAAGUCACAGCAAAUAUGGAGAACACAUUUCUAACCAUUGUCUUCUUCAGUAUUGGUUGAAAGCUUGGACCGACCCCAGACUUCUUUAAUAAAACUAUAACACAGCCAGAGAAGCUAAUCUAAGAAGGGCACAGGGAGUUUGACAUCUCACGUCCAAGUCAGAGGUGAAGCCAUUCACUACACUUCAAAUUGGUGUUUGCUAACAUUUUUGUAGUCACAUUUGUAAAGUCUGUAGUGGGUAGAUAGAUACCAUUGGCUCACAUUUAAUUUACUGAAUCUGUCCUAUCUUCUGCAUGCUUCAACUGGCUAAUAUAUUUCACCCCCUCCCCAAUUACCUGCUCCCUCUCCAAAGAGUCUGUUCAUAAUUUUAUAACAAUGUUGUAAAGUUCAUAUGUAU
RNA transcript from Microtus ochrogaster (prairie vole), 4814 nucleotides. It is a transcript of the gene named ATPase phospholipid transporting 11B (putative), with no coding region annotated. The record is from RefSeq and is a predicted model, not a curated record. Lineage: Eukaryota; Metazoa; Chordata; Mammalia; Rodentia; Cricetidae. The transcript is spliced from 31 exons.